RNAcentral lists this ribosomal RNA (466 nucleotides) under uncultured bacterium. RNAcentral describes it as "bacterial SSU rRNA". It matches the Rfam family "Bacterial small subunit ribosomal RNA", at positions 33 to 507 of the family's 1533-position model. The record is from RNAcentral.
GACGACGCUGGCGGCGCGCCUAAACACAUGCAAGUCGAACGAGCAAAGNGGAGCUUGCUUCUCUGAGCGAGUGGCGAACGGGUGAGUAACGCGUGAGGAACCUGCCUCAAAGAGGGGGACAACAGUUGGAAACGACUGCUAAUACCGCAUGACGCAUAGAGGUCGCAUGAUCUUUAUGCCAAAGAUUUAUCGCUUCAAGAUGGCCUCGCGUCUGAUUAGCUAGUUGGCGGGGUAACGGCCCACCAAGGCGACGAUCAGUAGCCGGACUGAGAGGUUGAACGGCCACAUUGGGACUGAGAUACGGCCCAGACUCCUACGGGAGGCAGCAGUGGGGAAUAUUGGGCAAUGGGCGCAAGCCUGACCCAGCAACGCCGCGUGAAGGAAGAAGGCUUUCGGGUUGUAAACUUCUUUUAAGAGGGAAGAGCAGAAGACGGUACCUCUAGAAUAAGCCACGGCUAACUACGUG